CAAACAAUUGGAUAUCUUUCUAUUUAUUUUAUACAUUAAUAUCACAUUAGUUUUCUUAUGGUCGAGAAUUUGAUUUGUUAUAAUCAUUAUUAUUUAUAUAAUUGAGUAAGUCGACAGCGAAAGAGAGAGAGAUAGAGAGUACUGCGGUAGAUAGUUAAGAAAAACAAGUUGCUAUACUGUGUACACUGUAUAGAAAGUGUUAACAAAUGAGUUAGAUCUAUAUAGCCAGGACAUUUGUUAUUUUGUAUAAUUAUAUUGUAAGUAUAGUAAUUCGAUAAAAAAAACUUCGUGUUUUGAU
Non-coding RNA from Cinara cedri, 298 nucleotides. The record is from the annotation of a GenBank genome assembly. NCBI's taxonomy places the organism in Eukaryota, Metazoa, Arthropoda, Insecta, Hemiptera, Aphididae.